CAGCAGCCGCGGGAAUACGGAGGGGGCUAGCGUUGUUCGGAAUUACUGGGCGUAAAGCGCACGUAGGCGGCUUGGUAAGUUAGAGGUGAAAGCCCGGAGCUCAACUCCGGAAUUGCCUUUAAGACUGCCGAGCUAGUAGGUGAGAGAGGUAAGUGGAAUUCCGAGUGUAGAGGUGAGAUUCGUAGAUAUUCGGAAGAACACCAGUGGCGAAGGCGGCUUACUGGCUCAUUCUAGACGCUGAGGUGCGAAAGCGUGGGGAGCAAACAGGAUUAGAUACCCCCGUAGUCCCUGUCUCUUAUAC
This 301-nucleotide ribosomal RNA is filed under the name uncultured bacterium. RNAcentral describes it as "partial 16S ribosomal RNA". It matches the Rfam family "Bacterial small subunit ribosomal RNA", at positions 509 to 807 of the family's 1533-position model. The record is from RNAcentral.